CAGUAGCCGCGGUAAUACGAAGGGGGCUAGCGUUGUUCGGAAUUACUGGGCGUAAAGCGCGCGUAGGCGGCCUUUCAAGUCAGAUGUGAAAUCCCUGGGCUCAACCUAGGAAUUGCAUUUGAUACUGUUUGGCUUGAGUAUGGGAGAGGUGAGUGGAAUUCCCAGUGUAGAGGUGAAAUUCGUAGAUAUUGGGAGGAACACCAGUGGCGAAGGCGGCUCACUGGACCAAUACUGACGCUGAGGCGCGAAAGCGUGGGGAGCAAACAGGAUUAGAUACCCCCGUAGUCCCUGUCUCUUAUAA
Molecule: ribosomal RNA, 301 nt
Filed under: uncultured bacterium
Lineage: Bacteria
Description: partial 16S ribosomal RNA
Rfam family: Bacterial small subunit ribosomal RNA
Source: RNAcentral